GACAGAGGGUGCAAACGUUGUUCGGAAUUACUGGGCGUAAAGCGUGUGUAGGCGGCUUGGCAAGUCGGAUGUGAAAGCCCCGGGCUCAACCCGGGAAGUGCACUCGAUACUGCCGAGCUUGAGUAUCGGAGAGGUGGGUGGAAUUCUCGGUGUAGAGGUGAAAUUCGUAGAUAUCGAGAGGAACACCGGCGGCGAAGGCGGCCCACUGGACGAAUACUGACGCUGAGACACGAAAGCGUGGGGAGCAAACAGG
This 253-nucleotide ribosomal RNA is filed under the name uncultured bacterium. Its description in RNAcentral is "partial 16S ribosomal RNA". It matches the Rfam family "Bacterial small subunit ribosomal RNA", at positions 524 to 776 of the family's 1533-position model. The record is from RNAcentral.